GGCCCUAUAGCUCAGUGGUUAGAGCACUGGUCUUAGUAAACCAAGGGCUGUGAGUUCAAUUCUCGCUGGGGCCU
This 74-nucleotide transfer RNA is filed under the name Alosa alosa (allis shad). Its description in RNAcentral is "tRNA-OTHER". It matches the Rfam family "tRNA". Rfam says of the family: Transfer RNA (tRNA) molecules are approximately 80 nucleotides in length. Their secondary structure includes four short double-helical elements and three loops (D, anti-codon, and T loops). Lineage: Eukaryota; Metazoa; Chordata; Actinopteri; Clupeiformes; Clupeidae. The record is from RNAcentral.